AGAGUUUGAUUAUGGCUCAGAAUGAACGUUGGCGGCGUGGAUUAGGCAUGCAAGUCGAGCGAGGAAACAGAUAGCAAUAUUUGUUAUUCGAGCGGCGUAAGGGGCAGUAAUACCUGGGAACGUACCCUGAGGUCGGGGAUAGCUGCUAGAAAUGGCGAGUAAUACCCGAUGAUCUCGAGAGAGCAAAGGCUUGCCGCCUUCGGAGCGGCCCAGGCGAUAUUAGCUAGUUGGUGAGGUAAUGGCUUACCAAGGCAAAGAUGUCUAGCGGGUGUGAGAGCACGACCCGCGCCACUGGCACUGAGACACUGGCCAGACACCUACGGGUGGCUGCAGUCGAGAAUCUUCGGCAAUGAGCGCAAGCUUGACCGAGCGACGCCGCGUGCGGGAUGAAGGCCUUCGGGUUGUAAACCGCUUUGGUCCGAGAGAAAGGGUAAAACUUGAUCGAUCGGAGAAACAAGGACGGGCUAAGUUCGUGCCAGCCGCCGCGGUAA
RNAcentral lists this ribosomal RNA (491 nucleotides) under uncultured Planctomycetaceae bacterium. RNAcentral's name for it is "bacterial SSU rRNA". It matches the Rfam family "Bacterial small subunit ribosomal RNA", at positions 8 to 523 of the family's 1533-position model. Lineage: Bacteria; Pseudomonadati; Planctomycetota; Planctomycetia; Planctomycetales; Planctomycetaceae. The record is from RNAcentral.